Molecule: ribosomal RNA, 253 nt
Filed under: uncultured bacterium
Lineage: Bacteria
Description: partial 16S ribosomal RNA
Rfam family: Bacterial small subunit ribosomal RNA
Source: RNAcentral
UACGAAGGGGGCUAGCGUUGCUCGGAAUCACUGGGCGUAAAGGGUGCGUAGGCGGGUCUUUAAGUCAGGGGUGAAAUCCUGGAGCUCAACUCCAGAACUGCCUUUGAUACUGAGGAUCUUGAGUUCGGGAGAGGUGAGUGGAACUGCGAGUGUAGAGGUGAAAUUCGUAGAUAUUCGCAAGAACACCAGUGGCGAAGGCGGCUCACUGGACCGGAACUGACGCUGAGGCGCGAAAGCGUGGGGAGCAAACAGG